UUCUUUUUACGAAAGUCAUGGAGUAAAGCUUGCCGUAAGAAGUCAGCCGAGGUCAUAGUAGCAAGACAAGUCGAUAUUUUCUUGUGAAGGAC
Prevotella sp. CAG:5226 is the source of this 92-nucleotide non-coding RNA. Lineage: Bacteria; Pseudomonadati; Bacteroidota; Bacteroidia; Bacteroidales; Prevotellaceae. The record is from Rfam.